This is a non-coding RNA of Papilio machaon (common yellow swallowtail), 72 nucleotides long. The record is from Rfam. Lineage: Eukaryota; Metazoa; Arthropoda; Insecta; Lepidoptera; Papilionidae.
UCCUGUAAGCGCUAGUGGCUAGGAUAUCUGGCUCUCACCCAGAAGGCUCGGGUUCGAUUCCCGGUACGAGAA